GAGUGCUCGUUCUAGCUGAAUCACCUCACAUGACUUACAAAAGGAUCAAAAAGCCAGUACAAUUUCGCAUAGACGAGCAUUGUCUUCAGGAAAAAUAAGCACAGAUGGAACCAAAGCUAUGACAGAACACACCCCACAGGCGGUGGGCUUCACUGACGGUUCUAUGCUCAGAAACCAACUCCGGGGAAUUCAGAUAAUAAUCUCUUCUUCGGACAGAAAAAGGAAAAAUUGCCUCAUCCACAAUUGGACCCUUACAAGGAGGACAGGUGUGAUUAUUAGGAUUUGGCCUAAAGAAUAGAUUGAAGCGGAUGAUACACUUCAAAAGAAUGUGUUCCCAAUCUCAAGACCUCUCUGGGGAGUCUCACAAGUGUCAAGUUUAUCCUGUGAUCCCUGCUGAGAUAUGGCCAAAUGUAAAGGCCAGGACCAGCUGGGUGUUUACAUGACAUAUAAAUAACAACACAAACCUGGUCAAUUAACCUCUUUGCUGCUUGGUUUAAGUGAGUCCCACAACCUGCCUAAUGAAGAGAAAGAAACUCCCUCAAUCCUGCUAAGAGGUUAGAGGACAACGUUGAGAAACUGAUUUGAGAGGAAUUGAAUUUGCUAUUCUGGGUUCACAACUCCAGCCCUAAUCCUGAUAGCGCAGCAAGAAGGGCUGCCAUAAUCUUGAAGGGUCCCUUUGAGAGAGUGUGGGACUGCAGUGAGGAUGGAACAGGGCAGCUUUCCCAGGCAGGGGAUGUUGUCUUGGUUAUUCACGGAUCUGCAUCACCGCCCUUCCUGGAACCUGGCAGGCGGCAGUACAGAGCUGGUGAAGGAGGAAUGAAGGAGGAAGCCAUGCUGCACUGAUGAUGGUUUGGCGAUGCUGGUCUACACCAGAAAAAUUGGAUUCUCCCUAGAAAAGAGAUUUGAAAUUCCCUGGAGAUUUCUGACCAUGUCCUUUGGAAGAAAUAUUCAUACAGCCAGGGAAACCUUAAAAUCAACUUGCUUUUAUUCUUGCCCAAAAUUAAAGGCUUGCCUACCAACAACUUUCCUCUCAAAAAUUGACAUCUAUGAUUGCCAAUCUUUUAGUAGGUUUUUAUGUUUGUUUGUUUGUUUUGUUUUAUUUUGUUUUGUUUUUUAAACAGGGUCUGUCACCGGGAUGGAGUGCAGUGGUGUAAUCACAGCUCACUGCAGCCUCUACCUCCCGAGCUCAAGUGAUUCUCCCGUCUCAGCCUCCCGAGUAGCUGGGACUACAGGCUUACACCACCACACCCGGCUAAUUAAAAACAUUUUUUUGUAGAGAUGGAAGUCUCCCUAUGUUGCCCAGGCUGGUCUCAAACUCCUAAGCUCAAGCAAUCCUCCUACCUUGGCCUCCCAAAGUGCUGAGAUUACAAGCAUGAGCCACCGUGCCUGGUCUAGCAUGAUUUUUAUCACGACUUUUUCUGUCUUUUAAGAUUGGAAAGGCAUAAAUCAAUAUUUCAGGCCGAGCAGCGCUUGUUUGCCAUCAUUCAUCCAGCAGAGGUCUCUCUUGCCCACCAUACGCUCAGAAGAGUCCCUUGCUUGUGUGUGUGUAUUCAGUACCAGGGGCGUGACCGUCAGGCUGCAGAAUGAAGAAAUACGGACAAAGACUUUCAGGCCUGAGAGACUAAGGAGAAAAGAAUCUGUGGCUUUGGAGAGCAAGGCCUUCUCCUGAAGCCACAGGACAGACCAACGAGGAAUCAUGCUGCCCCACGGCCAAGUUCUGAUAUGACACCAAGGGAGGCAGGCAUGGGUUUCCAUACUGAGGGAAGCAAUCUGGUGAGGAUGGAGCUGGAUCAAAAAAGACAUGUUAAAAAUAAGACCCUCGGCUGGGCACGGUGG
This 1836-nucleotide long non-coding RNA is filed under the name Homo sapiens (human). Its description in RNAcentral is "HSALNT0211920". The record is from RNAcentral. Lineage: Eukaryota; Metazoa; Chordata; Mammalia; Primates; Hominidae.